Molecule: transfer RNA, 69 nt
Filed under: Riccia fluitans
Lineage: Eukaryota; Viridiplantae; Streptophyta; Marchantiopsida; Marchantiales; Ricciaceae
Also listed under: 1 other name
Description: tRNA-Asn
Rfam family: tRNA
About the family: Transfer RNA (tRNA) molecules are approximately 80 nucleotides in length. Their secondary structure includes four short double-helical elements and three loops (D, anti-codon, and T loops).
Source: RNAcentral
UCAGUAGCUCAGUGGUAGAGCGGUCGGCUGUUAACCGAUUGGUCGUAGGUUCAAGUCCUACCUGGGGAG